AAUUCUAAAAGGCGGGUUUUUCCACAUACUACAUUUCUGAAACUGGAAUACAUCUUUUAUAAUGGAGGUAUCUUACCAUAGGUCUAGACUAGAGGAGAAUUUUCCCAGAGAAGAUGUGCAUCUGCUUCUGCUGUCAUCUGGGAACACUAUCAGCCCAACACCAUCUGAAUUAAUCCUUUGUGGCAGGCAGACAUAAUCUUGCUCUGUCACCCAGGCU
RNAcentral lists this long non-coding RNA (217 nucleotides) under Homo sapiens (human). RNAcentral's name for it is "non-protein coding lnc-TMEM252-9:1". Lineage: Eukaryota; Metazoa; Chordata; Mammalia; Primates; Hominidae. The record is from RNAcentral.